AUCUCUUUUUGGCCUUUUGGCUACGAUUGAGUGUAGUAUCUGUUCUUAUCAGUUUAAAUGAGCCUCUUUAAAUCCAGAUUUCCGUAUAUAUAUAUUUUAGUGUUUGCAUUCCUAAGACGAAUUAAACGCUUU
This 132-nucleotide small nuclear RNA is filed under the name Lynx canadensis (Canada lynx). RNAcentral describes it as "U2 spliceosomal RNA (ENSLCNG00005014839.1)". The stretch from base 1 to 114 matches the Rfam family "U2 spliceosomal RNA". Rfam says of the family: U2 is a small nuclear RNA (snRNA) component of the spliceosome (involved in pre-mRNA splicing). Complementary binding between U2 snRNA (in an area lying towards the 5' end but 3' to hairpin I) and the branchpoint sequence (BPS) of the intron results the bulging out of an unpaired adenosine, on the BPS, which initiates a nucleophilic attack at the intronic 5' splice site, thus starting the first of two transesterification reactions that mediate splicing. The record is from RNAcentral. Lineage: Eukaryota; Metazoa; Chordata; Mammalia; Carnivora; Felidae.